Molecule: ribosomal RNA, 2560 nt
Filed under: Fusarium oxysporum f. sp. cucumerinum
Lineage: Eukaryota; Fungi; Ascomycota; Sordariomycetes; Hypocreales; Nectriaceae
Also listed under: 3 other names
Description: bacterial LSU rRNA
Rfam family: Bacterial large subunit ribosomal RNA (bases 1-2130)
Source: RNAcentral
CCAAUGCUUCUAAUUUCAUAGCAAGCUCGCUUGCUAUGAAAUAGGCAACCAGUAAUAUAAGCAAGUGUGUGCUAUUUAUAGCGCUAGCCUACAAACCUAUAAUUAUAUUAACUCUAAGAGAAAUUUAAUAAUAAACGAAGUGAAUUGAAAUAUCUUAGUAACUUUAGGAAAAGAAAUCAAAAGAGAUUCUAUGAUUAGCGUGAGCUAAAAUAGACUAGCCUAAAAAGUCAAAUGGUGGAUAAACUGUUUAAAUUAAAUGGGGAACCUUCCUCAAAGGCUAAAUAUAAUGUAUAAGCGAUAGUGGAAAGUACCGUGAGGGAACCAAAACAAAAACAGUGAUUUUAUAAGCAGUUCGGAAAAAUAAAAAAAAGUUAGAACGUACCUUUUGCAUAAUGGGUCACCAAGUUAACAUUAGAUGCGAGUAGGAGGCUUUGCCCAUACAUACGUAGUUAAACCGAGCGUUAAAAUAACGGUAAGUAUCUAAAGUUAGACCCGAAGCCUGGUGAUUUUACCAUAAUCAGGAUUAUAAAAGUCCGAACGGAAUAUUGUAGCAUAAAUAUCCGAAGAAUUAUGGUAGGUGUAGUGAAAGACAAUACUGACCAGGAUAGCUGGUUUUCUGCGAAACCUAUAACAGUAGGCAAUUUAAGUAUAAUAUCUUAGCAGGUACAGAAUUUAAUCUCAGACAAGACAUAAGGCUUAGCUUGCUAGCAAGUAAAGCUCAUGUUUUAUUUUGUACAAAUUGGGGGAUCAUGAAGAUUUUAUCAGUGAGUAUGUAGACUCGGAAUGGCAAAGAUAUAUCUUAAAUCAUCAGACAUAGAAUGAUAAGGUUGUAUGUCAAAAGGGAAACAGCCCAGAACAAGAGUUAAGGUUCCUAAAUUAUUAGUUGAGUGAAAUUAAGAAGGUUUUUAUUAAAGUCGACAAGGAGAUAGGCUUAGAAGCAGCCAUAAUUUUAUGACCUCGUAACAGAGCGCUUGUUAAGUUUUAAAAGCAUCGAAAAUUUAUCGGAUCUAAACAAUAUACCGAAACCUUGUCCAUAUUAUUUUAUAAUUAAAGCUUAAUUAUAAUUAAAUGGGGUAGCAGAACGUUGAGCUAAAUUAAGAUUUUUAUUUUUUAAAUGAAAUUAUAAUAAUUUAACUCAAGUGAUAAUGGUGACAUGAGUAACUAAAAGAAAAAAUAAAAUUUUUCCGCCUAAAGCUUAUGGAUGUAAUUAAGUAACGGCCUCUAAGUUUAUAUUAUCUAAAGAUUUAAACGAUGAGAUAAUCUUUUGUACUAAGGACGACAUUUUAAGUGAAAAAUGUACUGGAAAAAUAGUACUAAAUUAAUGGGUAUAGCUAAUUAGUUAGCUAUAGCUAUAAAUGAAAAGUAACCGUACCUAGAAUCUGAAACAAGUAAGCUAGUAGAGAAUACGAAGGCGUAAAUGAGCUAACAAUCAUAAAGGAACUCGGCAAAUUGACUACCGUAACUUCGGGAUAAGGAGAGCUCAUUAUUCUUGAUUAAUAUCAGGUAAAGAGGAAGAAGCAUGAAAUAGUGUUGUACGACUGUUUAAUUAAAACACAGCACUUUGCUGAAAGAUUAAAAAUCUAAGUAUAGAGUGUGAUGUCUGCCCGGUGCCGGCUGGUUAACAGAUAUAAUUAAAUAUACUAAUAUUUGAUGUAGACGGAAACCCCGGUUAAAGGCGGCCUUAACGUGAGGGUCCUAAGGUAGCGAAAUGCCUUGGCCGUUAAAUGCGGUCUUGCAUGAAUGAUGUAACGAUACAACAGCUGUCUCUAUGAUUGACUCAGUGAAAUUGGAAUAGCUGUGCAGAUACAGUUUACCUCUAGUUAGACGAGAAGACCCUAUGCAGCUUUACUGUCACUAAUUAUAGAGUAUGAUAAACAAUUUUCAGAUUAUAAGGUAAUUGACGGCUAGCUUGUUCAGCAAGCUAGCUCUAUGACAAUGAGAAUCCUUUAUUUUUUUUUCAUAUGAAUGAAUUGGUUUAGGAUUAUGAGUAGGUAGCGGCUUCUGCUACUUGGCGUAAGCAUUGCUUGCGUCAGGUGUCUGAAGUAUGCAUUCCAGCUCAUGCAUAGUAAAUCAACCUAAUUCAGCUUAUUUUCCUUUCUGCCAUAAGCGCAUAAUGAUAGAUUUAACUUAAAUUUUGAUUUAUGCCAGCUGCAGAAAUAGAUAAGUACCCUUGGCUAAGGAACUAUCGCUAGGGGACAGUUUAUGUGGGGCACAGACCCUGUAAAGAGUAAACAGGAGUGUCUAAUAAUUUAUAAUUAUUUUGUUUGCGAUUUAAGAUAGUGAAACUAUUUUUAAUCAUAUAAAAUUAUUUAUAUGUACAUUCGUUGUAUAUAUAUUUAAAAAAAGGUAGGAUUUUCACUAUAUAGAAAUUAGAGAUAAUAAAAAUAUUAAGAAUAUACGUUUCAGGCUGGGAGGGGGAAGCUCCUCCCUUUGAAAGGUAGCACUAAUAUUUUUUAGCUAUUAAGACAGGCUAUCAAGCUAGGCUCUAAUAGUUAUGUAUUAAUUAUCUAAAAAGCUCAACGGCUAAAUCUUGCCUUACUGUUUGAUUAUCAACAAAUCU